CCUUUGACGUUAGCGGCGGACGGGUGAGUAACACGUGGGUAACCUACCUAUAAGACUGGGAUAACUUCGGGAAACCGGAGCUAAUACCGGAUAAUAUUUUGAACCGCAUGGUUCGAUAGUGAAAGAUGGUUUUGCUAUCACUUAUAGAUGGACCCGCGCCGUAUUAGCUAGUUGGUAAGGUAACGGCUUACCAAGGCGACGAUACGUAGCCGACCUGAGAGGGUGAUCGGCCACACUGGAACUGAGACACGGUCCAGACUCCUACGGGAGGCAGCAGUC
This 279-nucleotide ribosomal RNA is filed under the name uncultured Staphylococcus sp. RNAcentral describes it as "partial 16S ribosomal RNA". It matches the Rfam family "Bacterial small subunit ribosomal RNA", at positions 83 to 355 of the family's 1533-position model. Lineage: Bacteria; Bacillati; Bacillota; Bacilli; Caryophanales; Staphylococcaceae. The record is from RNAcentral.